Molecule: ribosomal RNA, 377 nt
Filed under: Janibacter marinus
Lineage: Bacteria; Bacillati; Actinomycetota; Actinomycetes; Micrococcales; Intrasporangiaceae
Description: bacterial SSU rRNA
Rfam family: Bacterial small subunit ribosomal RNA
Source: RNAcentral
GCAAGUCGAACGGUGAACCUUGGAGCUUGCUUCGAGGGGAUCAGUGGCGAACGGGUGAGUAACACGUGAGUAACCUGCCCCGGACUCUGGAAUAAGCGCUGGAAACGGCGUCUAAUACCGGAUACGAGACGCAACCGCAUGGUUAGCGUCUGGAAAGUUUUUCGGUCUGGGAUGGACUCGCGGCCUAUCAGCUUGUUGGUGAGGUAAUGGCUCACCAAGGCGACGACGGGUAGCCGGCCUGAGAGGGCGACCGGCCACACUGGGACUGAGACACGGCCCAGACUCCUACGGGAGGCAGCAGUGGGGAAUAUUGCACAAUGGGCGAAAGCCUGAUGCAGCGACGCCGCGUGAGGGAUGACGGCCUUCGGGUUGUAACA